Molecule: long non-coding RNA, 293 nt
Organism: Alligator mississippiensis (American alligator)
Lineage: Eukaryota; Metazoa; Chordata; Crocodylia; Alligatoridae
Exons: 3
Source: RefSeq, a predicted model, not a curated record
UAUUACUGUUGGUAGAAGACUCUCUGAUGCAUGCAGUAAGAACAAAGCUGAAUAUUCAUUAGCGUGUGGAUAAAAGCGAGAAACAGUCCAUGGCAGACAGUGUUGUCACAUCCUUGGUUGGAAGACACUGUUACAAUGGGUUUCUAAUACAGACAAAGACUGACAGUAAUACAGGGGGACUGGACCUGAUGAUCUUCUGAGGUCCCUUCAAGCCUUACUAUCUAUGAAGACCACUUUUCAAUCAUUUGCAAUAUAUGUAACUCUAAAAUAAAUAAACUGUUCCAUGUUAUAAA